GAUGAACGCUAGCUACAGGCUUAACACAUGCAAGUCGAGGGGAAACGACAUCGAAAGCUUGCUUUUGAUGGGCGUCGACCGGCGCACGGGUGAGUAACGCGUAUCCAACCUGCCCAUCACUUGGGAAUAACCUUGCGAAAGUAAGACUAAUACCCAAUGAUAUCCCACGAAGGCAUCGGAAUGGGAUUAAAGAUUUAUCGGUGAUGGAUGGGGAUGCGUCUGAUUAGCUUGUUGGCGGGGUAACGGCCCACCAAGGCAACGAUCAGUAGGGGUUCUGAGAGGAAGGGCCCCCACAUUGGAACUGAGACACGGUCCAAACUCCUACGGGAGGCAGCAGUGAGGAAUAUUGGUCAAUGGGCGAGAGCCUGAACCAGCCAAGUAGCGUGCAGGAAGACGGCCCUAUGGGUUGUAAACUGCUUUUAUAAGGGAAUAAAGUGGGUCACGUGUGACUUUUUGCAUGUACCUUAUGAAUAAGGACCGGCUAAUUCCGUG
RNAcentral lists this ribosomal RNA (492 nucleotides) under uncultured bacterium. Its description in RNAcentral is "partial 16S ribosomal RNA". It matches the Rfam family "Bacterial small subunit ribosomal RNA", at positions 28 to 507 of the family's 1533-position model. The record is from RNAcentral.